GCCGCCUUGGCUAAGUGGUAUAGCGACUCCUUGGUAAGGAGUAGGUCCGGGGUUCAAUUCCCCGAGGCGGCU
RNAcentral lists this transfer RNA (72 nucleotides) under Methanobacteriota archaeon. RNAcentral describes it as "Euryarchaeota archaeon (soil metagenome) tRNA-Thr". It matches the Rfam family "tRNA". Rfam says of the family: Transfer RNA (tRNA) molecules are approximately 80 nucleotides in length. Their secondary structure includes four short double-helical elements and three loops (D, anti-codon, and T loops). Lineage: Archaea; Methanobacteriati; Methanobacteriota. The record is from RNAcentral.